Long non-coding RNA from Siniperca chuatsi (mandarin fish), 493 nucleotides. RefSeq lists it as uncharacterized. NCBI's taxonomy places the organism in Eukaryota, Metazoa, Chordata, Actinopteri, Centrarchiformes, Sinipercidae. The transcript has 2 exons. The record is from RefSeq and is a predicted model, not a curated record.
UGAACCUGAUUAAGACAUUUUGGCGAUGCACCUUAGAAGAUGAGCAAGGUGAUAUGUCACUUCCGACCACCAUCUUUGUUUGGCAGAAAAAGUGACCUACCUACUGGGUAAAGGGAACGGUCAAAAACGUCUGCAUUAUGCAGCCCACUGAUUUUUUUUCUUCAGUUGGACAACGUUAGUCAUUGAGGUAUCGCGAAAAUAUCUUAAAAACACCGGUAAGUACUGCCAGAUGACACGUUUGGUUUGUAUUUAUGAGAAAAAGCCCCGUGACAGAUGAAGAAGUCUCACAUCUAUAAACGGUGAAAGAGCCUAUAACAGAUGUGAAGGCAGUCAGAAGGCUGUAGAAGAGUCACCACCCUCCACCACUACUUUUACCUGCAUGUGAGUUGAUACAAAAUUAAGCAUGAUCAUAAUAAUCUGGGAUGCACUGUAUGUAGUGAACCUCCUGUGAGAUCUUUAGCAGUUUAUAUUCAAAAUCACAUGUAUAUGAAUA